RNAcentral lists this ribosomal RNA (433 nucleotides) under uncultured bacterium. Its description in RNAcentral is "partial 16S ribosomal RNA". It matches the Rfam family "Bacterial small subunit ribosomal RNA", at positions 29 to 507 of the family's 1533-position model. The record is from RNAcentral.
AACGAACGCUGGCGGCAUGCCUAACACAUGCAAGUCGAACGAGACCUUCGGGUCUAGUGGCGCACGGGUGCGUAACGCGUGGGAACCUGCCCUUAGGUUCGGAAUAACUCCCCGAAAGGGGUGCUAAUACCGGAUAAUGUCUUCGGCCCAAAGAUUUAUCGCCUUUGGAUGGGCCCGCGUUGGAUUAGCUAGUUGGUAGGGUAAAAGCCUACCAAGGCGACGAUCCAUAGCUGGUCUGAGAGGAUGAUCAGCCACACUGGGACUGAGACACGGCCCAGACUCCUACGGGAGGCAGCAGUGGGGAAUAGUGGAAAAUGGGCGAAAGCCUGAUCCAGCAAUGCCGCGUGAGUGAUGAAGGCCUUAGGGUUGUAAAGCUCUUUUAACCGGGAUGAUAAUGACAGUACCGGGAGAAUAAGCUCCGGCUAACUCCGUG